This is a non-coding RNA of Anas platyrhynchos (mallard), 1380 nucleotides long. NCBI's taxonomy places the organism in Eukaryota, Metazoa, Chordata, Aves, Anseriformes, Anatidae. The record is from RefSeq and is a predicted model, not a curated record.
UUGGCAGCCAGCUGGUGACUGUAGGGGCUGUGGAGGUUACCUCCGAGCAGUAAAUUUACUCAAAAUGAAGUGAAAAAUCCCACUGCAACGCUAAUGCAGGCCUGAGCAGGCUUCAAUACACAACCAUGAGGGCUUGCUACAUGCCCUGGAGUGAAUUGUGUUUAUAAAGCUUUUCUCUCAUAAAACGGGCAGCUUGGUACUGCCUUUUCCUAGAAGCACGCUUCAUGCACUUAGGUGCAGCGCACUGUCCUGUGAGCUGAUACUGAGUGGCUUAGAGAAGAACCAGCCAUAUAGUUGAUUCUGUGUGACAACGUGAGGAGAGAAUUCAAGCAUUAAAUGGACAUAGUAACUGUGCAGUGAGGAAUAAUGAAGCUCAAAAAGAAGUACUGAAUUACGAACUUGCCUUGCCCUUCCUUUCCCUAUCCGCACCAGCUGGCUGCCACCUGAUGUGACCUUCCUUCUCGUCCUCUGCUGAUGUCCAGCUUCACCGUGGAGCAGCAUUGUCGACAAGAAAAGAUGGCAUCGGGCAUUUAUAAUGUGAAUGUUGCUCAUCAUUGCUUGCUGAAUGUAUGCUGGAGAGAGGAACAACUUAGAUCUGACUCUUAACCGCAGGCCUCUUAAUUUCUGGAUGGACUGCAUCCUGCAUCAAAAGGCUAAGCUGUUCCUGAGGCAACAAGUGAUGUUGAAGAACAGCACCAAUGGGUCGUGAAGUGUAACCUGUCAGCGUUAUCUCUGCCACUGAAGUCAUCGGAGAUUUCUACUUCCUAGGAAGCCUGAAGUCAGCUGACUGCUAACAUGCAAAGAAUGGCUCCAACACAUGGGAAAAGCACUGUUGCCUCCCUGCAUCUUCCUAGUGCCUGGUGCUUCUGCCAGAAACCUUUUUUUCUGCUAUUGCCUCUGUAGUGAGUGCUGCUGAUCAGAAAAUGGAUUUGGGGCUUUGUUUCAAAAGUCUGCUGUUACCCUAGCCUUUACAGGGAGUAACCAAUCCCAAGUUGCUGCUGCUGAUGGGAAUGAGAGGACAGAAAAAGAGGGUGGGAUUGAUGGGUACAACUGUUGAGGAACCACCCGUUCCUUCGUAUAAUCAGGGUAGGAAAAAUUAAUGGGUGGUUUAAUGCAAAAAAAGUGCUGUUGGUGCCAGUGAUUUCUGUAUGAAAAACUGAACAUAGGUGUUCGCUGAACACACCCAUGUUCAGGUUUUCAUACAGAAAAUGGAACCAAGUACAUCACACAAGCUCCAGGAGAUAGCCCUAAGUCAAAACUGAGCUCUAACCAGAUAUUAACACUUCAUGUUAACUACUCUCCUAAACUCCACGCUUCCAAUAUGGGAAAGUCUGCUUGCCAUCAACACCUAUGAAAUAAUGUGUUUAAUGUUUCCUGUUA